This is a long non-coding RNA of Salvia splendens (bonfire salvia), 1053 nucleotides long. RefSeq lists it as uncharacterized. The record is from RefSeq and is a predicted model, not a curated record. The transcript is spliced from 2 exons. NCBI's taxonomy places the organism in Eukaryota, Viridiplantae, Streptophyta, Magnoliopsida, Lamiales, Lamiaceae.
GUCGGCUCCCUUUCUCCCUCAAAACUCUCUCUCUCUCUCUCUACUGUAAAUUCAAACAAAGAACACACACACACACACACACCACAUUUCGUCUCUCUUUCUCACUCGAUUUCUCUCACAAAGUGAAAAUAACAAGAUCCCCAAAUUCAAUUCUCUCUCUCUAUCCCACAGCACCUCGGCACUUCUAUUCUCCACUGUUCACAGAUCAGCCGCUACCGGCUCCAAUUCGCCGCCCGACGUACACCGUCGUUGGGUUCGUACCGCCGUUGCCGCCGCGCUGUUGUCUGCCGAGACCGCGCCUGCUCCGGCAGCCGCGAAUCCACCCUGAACCAGCCCCGUUUUCCCAUUAAAGAUUUCAUGAGAUGCACAAGAAUGAAAUAAGAAUGGGGUGGAAGAAGGGUAUACUUUCAAUUUGCAGAUUUGCAACUGAACAAAACAGGAACUCUCUCACUUUAGUUCUCGGUUUCUGACAGGAAGAAUGAAUGAGUUGAUUUUCCAAAACAUUGUAGAAUAGCAGGCGAGGAAAUUCUGUGUAUGGGAUUACCUUGAAUCUGUUUCGAUUGAGAUAAGAAGAAUGUCAGCCUUGUUCUUGAAAUUUAUUGCUGAUUUUAGUGGAGCAACUUGUGGGGAUGGAACUUGAUUGCGAAUGAAAUUUUAUGGAGGAGUGGCGGUAGAAAAAGAGGAGAUUAGGGUUGUUAGUAUGGAAAGAGGUGUGUGAUUUGGGAGAGAUUUACGGAGUGGGGAGAGAUGACGGUUUCAAUCGUGAGUUGAGGGGAGUGAAAUUCAAAUUUUUUCUUUUUUUUUGAUUCACGGAGGAGGAAUAUCUCUGCAGAAUCUUUAUUUAAUAUUUGAAUUAAUGCAGCUUGGUGACCACGUCAACAGGUCAGAACUAAUUAGAUAAGUUUAAUUCACGGUCCUUUGUAUUUUAUUUAAAUUGUGCGGCCCACAAUUUAUUCUCCACCAGACAGGAUUUUUGUAUUAUCUAUUCAAUUUAUCGGAUCCAACACGAAAUUGAGUCUAAUAAAUAUUCCUCACGGAAAGGAAUUAUUUAAA